GGUUAAGCGACUAAGCGUACACGGUGGAUGCCCUGGCAGUCAGAGGCGAUGAAGGACGUGCUAAUCUGCGAAAAGCGCCGGCGAGGUGAUAUGAACCCUUGACCCGGCGAUGUCCGAAUGGGGAAACCCAGUGUGUUCCGACACACUAUCGUUAACUGAAUACAUAGGUUAACGAGGCGAACCGGGGGAACUGAAACAUCUAAGUACCCCGAGGAAAAGAAAUCAACCGAGAUUCCUGCCACGGAUCGGACAGGUUGAGAAUAUGAGCGUAGAGGGACUUUUCGUCCAUGGCGGUGACCUCUGGCGAUUAAAUACACCAUUAUCAUGCCUUCAGCCACCACAACAAGGGAAGACCCAUAUAAAUACAGUGUGCGCCGGGAGACCGGUAAAGAUCAAGGGGUGAAAGUCCCCGACCAGUGAAGGACCAGCAAUCCACAGGGUCCCCGAGUCAUGCGUUGUAUACCGUGAGGUAUGGGGCGAAGCGUUGACAG
This 491-nucleotide ribosomal RNA is filed under the name Enterobacter hormaechei subsp. xiangfangensis. Lineage: Bacteria; Pseudomonadati; Pseudomonadota; Gammaproteobacteria; Enterobacterales; Enterobacteriaceae. The record is from RNAcentral.